RNA transcript from Populus trichocarpa (black cottonwood), 2760 nucleotides. RefSeq lists it as uncharacterized. Lineage: Eukaryota; Viridiplantae; Streptophyta; Magnoliopsida; Malpighiales; Salicaceae. The transcript has 4 exons. The record is from RefSeq and is a predicted model, not a curated record.
ACCUUUUCUCCUUCUCGCCUUCUAAAAUAACAGACCAAUAAAUUUGUAGAGAGAGAAAAUAUUUGUAGAGAGAGAAAUAAAAAGAAAUGGACGGGAGCAGCAGCGGAGGAGGAAACGGUUACAGAGUAGAAGCAGAACGGUGGUUAUCUAUAUCAGAGAAACUCUUAGCCGCACGUGACUUGCACGGGGCUAAGAGCUUUGCCAUCCGAUCCCGAGAAUCCGACCCGAGACUCUAUCAAUUCGCCGACCAAAUCAUCGCCGUUGCCGACACUCUUCUUGCCGGAGAGUUAUGCGUCGAGAACAACCACUACUAUGAUUACUAUACGAUUCUCCAACUUGGUCGGUUUACUCAGGAUCUCGAACUCAUUGCGAAUCAGUAUCGGAAACUCGCCUUAUUGCUCAAUCCGACGAGUAAUAGGCUGCUCUUUGCUGAUCAGGCGUUGGAGCUUGUGUCGGAGGCUUGGCUCGUUCUUUCCAAUCCUGCUAAGAAGGCAAUGUAUGAUCAUGAGUUGCAACCGAGCCAGCUCGGUCUCCUUGUGACUCAGCAACUGCCACCUCCACCAUUUCAACAGCAAGCGCCGUAUGCUCCAGAGCCGAUUCGGCCCGUCCCGCUGUUCACAACGCCGAGGAUGCCCGAGUCUUCUAUUCGGUUCCCCACUCAGCCCAAACCCUUGGAUUCACCUCGGCCGCAAACUCAGCAAAGAAACCACCCGGAGCCAACUUGGCGACAACCUCAGCAGAAGCCAACUGAGCCAACUCAUCAGCCUACCCCGCUGAAGGCCGCUACUGAGCCAACUAAGCAAUCAACUCCUCAGCGGAAGCCAACUGAGCCAACUCAGCAACCUACCCCGCUGAAGGCCGCUACUGAGCCAACUAAGCAGCCUACCCUGCUGAAGGCCGCUACCGAGCCACCUAAGCAGUCAACUCCGUCUAAGACUCCCAAGGAGCCAACUUGGCCAGAAGUUGUGAUUGGGCUAACUCGAUCAGCUCCAAAGCGGAGCGUCACUGGUUCGACCCGGCGAGUGACUAAGCCCAAAGCUCCCACUACCGCUGCUGCUGUCAUUGAGACAACGCAUGUAACUCAGUCAGCUAGGAAGACGAGUGCGAGUGAGCCAGAGGCACCGAGUUUCUGGACUGCGUGUCCUUAUUGUUAUAUACUGUAUGAGUAUCCAAAAGCUUACGAGGAGUGUAUUCUGAGGUGCCAAAGUUGUAGGAGGGCAUUUCAUGCUGUCAUGGUACCAGCACCGCCGGUGACUGGUAAAGAUGCAUGUUUUUGCUGCUGGGGAUUUUUUCCAUUGGGAUUUUCUGGUAAUAAUGAGAAAGGAGCUAAUGGGUUUGGUAGUAAUUGGUCGCCAUUUUCGGCAAUGUUUGCCACUCCAUUCCAAGCUGGUGAUGCUGUUGAUAGUGGUGGUAAAAUGUAUAAUAAAUCGAAGCAAAAAGUGAUAUAUAAAGAUGAUGUGUAUAUAGAUAUCUCUGACCCAAGUGAAGAGGAGUCUGAUUCUGGUGAUGAGUGGGGUAGAAAUAUGAGAAAGAAGGCAAAAAAUGCCAAGGGGAAAGGAACUCUCGAUAAAAAAGUGAAGAAAUUGCCUAAUGAAGGACUGAAGGAGGCGGGGGCAGCGACAGGAAAUAUUCAAAAUUUGGAUAGUGAUGGCAGGGGUAGCGUACCGGAGGAGGUUGUGGGAAAAGGGGAAGGGAGUAGCGGGAAGAAGAAGACUGCAAAAGAUCUGGGGAAGUUGGAUUUGAAUGUGAUGUUUAGUAAUGAGGUGGAUGAGGCUGCGCCUGGACCAAGUCAAAGGAAUGGGCCUGGGAAUGAGGAGGAGGAUAAUAUUGAAGGGAUUGGGUUUUUUGAGGGUCUUGAUGAGUUUUUGAGUACCUUGCCCCUACUUUCGGUUGUAGGGGAUGAUAUGGUGAAGGCUACUUAGUGAUACUUUGAUGUUGGUGAGGGUUUGGUGGUCGCAAGUAGCAGUGCUAAAAUAUUCAGUUCAAUGAAUGACUGAGCAUGUAGGUUGACCAGCUCCUCAACUGUAUAUAAUACACGAGGAAUAUUUUGUGAGAGGGGAAUGAGUUACCUAAAUGUGAUGUAGUCAUGCAACCUUUAUUUUGUGAGCAGUGACGUUGGACUCAUUUGAGCUACUCAGGGAACUCGGUUUUUCAUGCCAUGAAUGCGAUUUGUGAAGAGCAGGGUUUCAUGUCUUGUAUUGAAGUGUCGAAGGUACUAUUUGUUCAGGUUUGACAUGCAUCAUUAGCAAUGCUUUAAAAGAUUUUGGACCACCAUGAUGGUCGACAGCCACUGCUAUAAAUCACUGUCAAACAGGAAAAUUUGUGAGGUGAAUUUUAUGAUGCUCGACCUUGAAGCUGUAAAUCGGGCAUUCUUAUGAGCUUUUAUCAAAUAUAAUAAUACCUUUGCUCUUGGGAGAAAAUUUUAAAUUUCGGGCUAUUGGAUUUUAUUUUUUUCAAGACACAGGCCCCUUGGAUGGUGGUGCGAUUCCAGCAUGGUGGAAAUGCUUUUCGCUACGUACGAUCGGAUCCGGUGAUCAUUUGCACGACAGAGUGACUGAUGAGGCCAUUUCAGGUAUAAGAAGAAGGGUUUUCAGCUUGGACAAUGGUAUUAAUUUGUAUUAUUCAUCGAGUUGUUCAGACACAAACGAGUUUGGACCACGAUGAUGCUCCACCACAACCACCUUCAAUUCUUUAAAGAUUUUCUCUUGUGUGGUCGCUAGUCAGUUCCUUGAAUAAGAAGGAAUUUUAUUUUAGUUUUUA